RNAcentral lists this long non-coding RNA (345 nucleotides) under Pan troglodytes (chimpanzee). RNAcentral describes it as "long non-coding RNA NONPTRT014249". Lineage: Eukaryota; Metazoa; Chordata; Mammalia; Primates; Hominidae. The record is from RNAcentral.
CGGGGGUCUGGUGCGGAGGGCCAACUUCUGGGAAUAACCUGGCUGUGGGCUUAAAAAUCGUAGUCAUUCAUUAUCACGGGCUUCUCUCUCUCGAAUACCUUUAACAUUUAUCGCCUUGUUAGUCUCCACAUCCACCUCCGUGAAAGGAAUUCUCAAGGGUCUCUUUGGAGGCUUACCAAGGACAUCCAGCUGCACAGUGAAGGUGGCUUCUCCUGCUCUAUUCUUGGCAACACAUGCAUAAGCCCCUGCAUCUGAAGCUCUGACUACUUCAAAGAUGAGUGAAUGAAGACCCUUCUCAGACACUAUCAUUUUGUGCAAAUCAUCUGAUUGAACUGGUCUUCCAUU